GUAUAUGGCCACGCCACCCUGAACACACCCAGUCUCUUCUGAUCUUGGUAACUAAGCAGGGUCUGGCCUGGUUAGUUCUUAGACAGGAUAGAGCCUGGGAAUUUCUGGUGUUGCAAACU
RNAcentral lists this ribosomal RNA (119 nucleotides) under Carlito syrichta (Philippine tarsier). The record is from RNAcentral. Lineage: Eukaryota; Metazoa; Chordata; Mammalia; Primates; Tarsiidae.